This 500-nucleotide ribosomal RNA is filed under the name uncultured bacterium. RNAcentral describes it as "partial 16S ribosomal RNA". It matches the Rfam family "Bacterial small subunit ribosomal RNA", at positions 30 to 523 of the family's 1533-position model. The record is from RNAcentral.
AUUGAACGCUGGCGGAAUGCUUUACACAUGCAAGUCGAACGGCAGCACGGACUUCGGUCUGGUGGCGAGUGGCGAACGGGUGAGUAAUGUAUCGGAACGUGCCCAGUCGUGGGGGAUAACGUAGUGAAAAUUACGCUAAUACCGCAUACGAUCUAUGAAUGAAAGCGGGGGAUCGCAAGACCUCGCGCGAUUGGAGCGGUCGAUAUCAGAGUAGGUAGGUGGUGGGGUAAAGGCCCACCAAGCCAACGAUCUGUAGCUGGUCUGAGAGGAAGACCAGCCACACUGGAACUGAGACACUGUCCAGACUCCUACGGGAGGCAGCAGUGGGGAAUUUUGGACAAUGGGCGAAAGCCUGAUCCAGCCAUUCCGCGUGCAGGAUGAAGGCCCUCGGGUUGUAAACUGCUUUUGUACAGAACGAAAAGGUUUCUACUAAUACUAGGAGCUCAUGACGGUACUGUAAGGAUAAGCACCGGCUAACUACGUGCCAGCCGCCGCAGUAA